UACAGAGGGGGCAAGCGUUGUUCGGAAUUACUGGGCUUAAAGGGUGCGUAGGUGGGCAAGUAAGUCAGUGGUGAAAUCUCCGGGCUUAACCCGGAAACUGCCAUUGAUACUAUUUGUCUUGAAUACUGUGGAGGUCAGCGGAAUAUGUUAUGUAGCGGUGAAAUGCUUAGAUAUGACAUAGAACACCAAUUGCGAAGGCAGCUGGCUACACAAAUAUUGACACUGAGGCACGAAAGCGUGGGGAUCAAACAGG
RNAcentral lists this ribosomal RNA (253 nucleotides) under uncultured bacterium. RNAcentral's name for it is "partial 16S ribosomal RNA". It matches the Rfam family "Bacterial small subunit ribosomal RNA", at positions 524 to 776 of the family's 1533-position model. The record is from RNAcentral.